Molecule: ribosomal RNA, 977 nt
Filed under: uncultured bacterium
Lineage: Bacteria
Description: bacterial SSU rRNA
Rfam family: Bacterial small subunit ribosomal RNA
Source: RNAcentral
ACACAUGCAAGUCGAACGAAGCUCGAUUCUUUGAGAUUUCGGUCAAAAAGAAAAGAUGACUUAGUGGCGGACGGGUGAGUAAUGCGUGAGCAACCUGCCUCGGAGAGGGGGACAACAGCUGGAAACGGCUGCUAAUACCGCAUAAUGUAUUUGGAGGGCAUCCUCUGAAUACCAAAGAUUUAUCGCUCUGAGAUGGGCUCACGUCUGAUUAGUUAGUUGGUGAGGUAACGGCUCACCAAGACUGCGAUCAGUAGCCGGACUGAGAGGUUGAACGGCCACAUUGGGACUGAGAUACGGCCCAGACUCCUACGGGAGGCAGCAGUGGGGAAUAUUGGGCAAUGGGCGCAAGCCUGACCCAGCAACGCCGCGUGAAGGAAGAAGGCUUUCGGGUUGUAAACUUCUUUUAUGAGGGACGAAGAAUGUGACGGUACCUCAUGAAUAAGCCACGGCUAACUACGUGCCAGCAGCCGCGGUAAUACGUAGGUGGCGAGCGUUAUCCGGAUUUACUGGGUGUAAAGGGCGCGUAGGCGGGGAAGCAAGUCAGAUGUGAAAUCCAUGGGCUCAACCCAUGAACUGCAUUUGAAACUGUUUCUCUUGAGUGCCGGAGAGGUAGACGGAAUUCCUAGUGUAGCGGUGAAAUGCGUAGAUAUUAGGAGGAACACCAGUGGCGAAGGCGGUCUACUGGACGGUAACUGACGCUGAGGCGCGAAAGCGUGGGGAGCAAACAGGAUUAGAUACCCUGGUAGUCCACGCUGUAAACGAUGAAUACUAGGUGUGGGGGGACUGACCCCUUCCGUGCCGCAGUUAACACAAUAAGUAUUCCACCUGGGGAGUACGACCGCAAGGUUGAAACUCAAAGGAAUUGACGGGGGCCCGCACAAGCAGUGGAUUAUGUGGUUUAAUUCGAAGCAACGCGAAGAACCUUACCAGGGCUUGACAUCCAACUAACGAAGUAGAGAUACAUUAGUGCCCUCGGG